RNAcentral lists this ribosomal RNA (207 nucleotides) under uncultured bacterium. Its description in RNAcentral is "partial 16S ribosomal RNA". It matches the Rfam family "Bacterial small subunit ribosomal RNA", at positions 568 to 774 of the family's 1533-position model. The record is from RNAcentral.
UGCGUAGGCGGCCUGGCAGGUUGGGUGUGAAAGCCCUCGGCUCAACCGAGGAAUUGCGCUCAAAACCGUCAGGCUUGAGGGAGAUAGGGGAGAGCGGAACUAAUGGUGGAGCGGUGAAAUGCGUUGAUAUCAUUAGGAACACCGGUGGCGAAAGCGGCUCUCUGGAUCUCUUCUGACGCUGAGGCACGAAAGCUAGGGUAGCGAACG